GGGAAUGUGGCUUAGUGGUAGAGUGUUUGCCUAACACGCAUGAAGCACUAGGUUCAAUUCCUCAGUACCA
Non-coding RNA from Dipodomys ordii (Ord's kangaroo rat), 70 nucleotides. Lineage: Eukaryota; Metazoa; Chordata; Mammalia; Rodentia; Heteromyidae. The record is from Rfam.